CUCGUAGGUGGUUCGUUACGUCGGAUGUGAAAAUCUGGGGCUCAACCCCAGACCUGCAUCCGAUACGGUCGAGCUAGAGUUUGGUAGGGGAGACUGGAAUUCCUGGUGUAGCGGUGGAAUGCGCAGAUAUCAGGAGGAACACCAAUGGCGAAGGCAGGUCUCUGGGCCAAUACUGACACUGAGGAGCGAAAGCGUGGGGAGCGAACA
RNAcentral lists this ribosomal RNA (207 nucleotides) under uncultured bacterium. RNAcentral's name for it is "partial 16S ribosomal RNA". It matches the Rfam family "Bacterial small subunit ribosomal RNA", at positions 568 to 774 of the family's 1533-position model. The record is from RNAcentral.